UACGGAGGAUCCAAGCGUUAUCCGGAAUUACUGGGCGUAAAGAGUUGCGUAGGUGGCAUAGUAAGUCAGUAGUGAAAGCGUGUGGCUCAACCAUAUAUACAUUACUGAAACUGCUAAGCUCGAGGAUGAGAGAGGUUAUUGGAAUUCCCUGUGUAGGAGUGAAAUCCGUAGAUAUAGGGAGGAACACCGAUGGCGUAGGCAGAUAACUGGCCCAUUCCUGACACUAGGGCACGAAAGCGUGGGAGCAAACGGG
Molecule: ribosomal RNA, 253 nt
Filed under: uncultured bacterium
Lineage: Bacteria
Description: partial 16S ribosomal RNA
Rfam family: Bacterial small subunit ribosomal RNA
Source: RNAcentral